This is a non-coding RNA of Prunus avium (sweet cherry), 223 nucleotides long. The record is from RefSeq and is a predicted model, not a curated record. Lineage: Eukaryota; Viridiplantae; Streptophyta; Magnoliopsida; Rosales; Rosaceae.
CAAUUGGGAAUAAUGAUUCUUCUCUUCCAAAUAAGAAUAAUUUUACAACCAAUUAUGACAGUAAACCAGUUAGCAACACCGCCUCUAAUUUCGAGAAUCAAACUAAAGAUGAAAGGACUUCAGAGGUUUAUUCUCAACCAGAAGAAGAUCCGGAAUCAUUCUUACAACUUAAGCUAGAUGAUUACACAUGGCUUUCAAGAAUAUUGCAGCCAGAACCGGGAAA